RNAcentral lists this ribosomal RNA (1446 nucleotides) under Rhazya stricta. RNAcentral describes it as "bacterial SSU rRNA". The record is from RNAcentral. Lineage: Eukaryota; Viridiplantae; Streptophyta; Magnoliopsida; Gentianales; Apocynaceae.
AGUGUCCUCCUUGUGCGUGGCUUCCAUGGCCAUUGUGUAAGGUUGUAAAGGGAAGAAGGUUGAAUCCUAAUUGGUAUUUAGUUCUUGAUGUCAAGAGAUCAAGGUUUGUUGCCUUGUUGGUUCCAGUUUUCUUUCAAUUAUCCUUCUAUUAUGAUUUCUUCCAUUGCCGACUUUGGUCUAACAUCUUCCAUUGUUUUCUUGUUGGUGUUUGUGUCUAAAUCCAAACUUUGUGGCUAAUCUCCACAUCAUCUCGAGUAUUACAUUAGCCACAUUGGGAUUAAGGCACAACCCAGACUUCUAUGGAGGCAGCAGUGGGGAGUCUUCUGCAAUGUGCGAAAGCCUGACAAAGCAAAGCCAUGUGGAGYUAGAAGGCCCAUGAGUCGUGAACUUCUUUUCUUGGAGAAGAAGCAAUGAUGUUUUUUGGGGAAUAAGCAUCAACUAARUCUGUGCCAGCAACUGCGAUAAUACAGAGGAUACAGGCAAUAUCCAAAUUGAUUAGGCAUAAAGCAUUUGUAGGUGGCUUUUUAAGUCCCCCAUCAAAUCCCAGGGUCAACCCUAGAUAGGCAGUGGAAACUACCAAACUGGAACGCAGUAUGCGGAGAAGGAAUUUCCAAUGGAGCGAUGAAAAUGCAUAGAGAUCGAAAAGAACACCAAGGGUGAAAGCACUARGCUGGGCCGACACUGACACUGAGAUAUGAAAGCUAGGGAAGCAAAUAGGAUUAGAUAUCCCAGACUGUAAACCAUGGAUACUAAGUGCUUUGCGUAUUGACUAGUGUAUUGUAGUAGCUAACGCAUUAUCUUGCCUGGGGAGUACGUUCUCAAGAAUGAAACUCAAAGGAAUUGAUGGGGGCCCACACAAAAAUGGUYGAGAAUAUGGUAUAAUUUGAUGCAAAGCGAAGAACUUUCAAGGGCUUGACAUGUCAUGAACCCCCUUGAAAGAGGGUUGUCUCUAGGAAUGCAGAAACAGGUGGUGCAUCGCUAUCUUCAGCUGGUCCUAAGGUGUUGGGUUAAGUCCUGCAACGACCGCAACCUGCAUAUUUAGUUGCCAUCAUUGAGUUUGGAAACCUGAAGAGACUGUCGGCGAUAAGCUGGAGGAAGGUGAGGAUGACGUCAAGUCAUCAUGCCCCUGAUGCUCUGGUCGACACACAUUCUACAAUGGCRGGGAGAAAGGGUUACAAUUCCGCUAGGGUGAGCUAACCCCAAAACUCGUCCUCAAUUUGGAUUGUAGGUUGCAACUCGCCUGCAUGAAGCUGAAAUUGCUAGUAAUCGCCGAUUAGCCAUACGGUGGUGAAUCCUUUCCUGGGCCUUGUACACACCACCUGUCAUACUAUGGGAGGUGGCCAUGCCCGAAGUCGUAACCUUAACCACAAGAAGGGGGAUGCCGAGGACUGGGCUAGUGACUGGAGUGAAGUCACAACAAGGUAGCCAUACUAGAAGGUGCGGCUG